CCUACGGGGGGCUGCAGUGGGGAAUAUUGCACAAUGGGCGAAAGCCUGAUGCAGCAACGCCGCGUGAGCGAUGAAGGUCUUCGGGUCGUAAAGCUCUGUCCUAAGGGAAGAAUACUGACGGUACCUUAGGAGGAAGCCCCGGCUAACUACGUGCCAGCAGCCGCGGUAAUACGUAGGGAGCUAGCGUCAUCCGGAAUUACGGGGCGUGAAGGGUGCGUAGGCGGCACUUCAAGUCAGAGGUGAAAGGCUACGACUCAACCGUAGUAAGCCUUUGAAACUGUAGGGCUUGAGUGCAGGAGAGUGGAGUGGAAUUCCCAGUGUAGCGGUGAAAGGCGUAGAUAUUGUGAGGAACACCAGUUGCGAAGGCGGCUCUCUGGACUGUAACUGACGCUGAGGCACGAAAGUGUGGGGAGCGAACAGGAUUAGAUACCCGUGUAGUC
Molecule: ribosomal RNA, 440 nt
Filed under: uncultured bacterium
Lineage: Bacteria
Description: bacterial SSU rRNA
Rfam family: Bacterial small subunit ribosomal RNA
Source: RNAcentral